Molecule: ribosomal RNA, 294 nt
Filed under: Lactobacillus delbrueckii subsp. bulgaricus
Lineage: Bacteria; Bacillati; Bacillota; Bacilli; Lactobacillales; Lactobacillaceae
Description: partial 23S ribosomal RNA
Rfam family: Bacterial large subunit ribosomal RNA
Source: RNAcentral
GCAGGGACGAAAGUCGGGCUUAGUGAUCCGGUGGUACCGUAUGGAAGGGCCAUCGCUCAACGGAUAAAAGCUACCCUGGGGAUAACAGGCUUAUCUCCCCCAAGAGUCCACAUCGACGGGGAGGUUUGGCACCUCGAUGUCGGCUCAUCGCAUCCUGGGGCUGUAGUCGGUCCCAAGGGUUGGGCUGUUCGCCCAUUAAAGCGGUACGCGAGCUGGGUUCAGAACGUCGUGAGACAGUUCGGUCCCUAUCCGUCGCGGGCGUAGGAAAUUUGAGAGGACCUGUCCUUAGUACGA